Molecule: ribosomal RNA, 395 nt
Filed under: uncultured bacterium
Lineage: Bacteria
Description: bacterial SSU rRNA
Rfam family: Bacterial small subunit ribosomal RNA
Source: RNAcentral
GAACGCCCCGCAAGGGGAGUGGCAGACGGGUGAGUAACACGUGGGAACGUACCCCUUUGUUCGGAAUAACCCUGGGAAACUAGGGCUAAUACCGGAUACGGCCGAGAGGCGAAAGGUUUACUGCAGAGGGAUCGGCCCGCGUCCGAUUAGCUAGUUGGUGGGGUAAUGGCUCACCAAGGCUACGAUCGGUAGCUGGUCUGAGAGGAUGGCCAGCCACAUUGGGACUGAGACACGGCCCAAACUCCUACGGGAGGCAGCAGUGGGGAAUAUUGGACAAUGGGCGCAAGCCUGAUCCAGCCAUGCCGCGUGAGUGAUGACGGCCUUAGGGUUGUAAAGCUCUUUUACCUGGGAAGAUAAUGACGGUACCAGGAGAAUAAGCCCCGGCUAACUUCGUG